GCGGCAUGCUUUACACAUGCAAGUCGAACGGUAACAGGGAGCUUGCUCCGCUGACGAGUGGCGAACGGGUGAGUAAUGCGUCGGAACGUGCCGAGUAGUGGGGGAUAACGCAGCGAAAGUUGUGCUAAUACCGCAUACGUACUGAGGUAGAAAGUGGGGGACCUUCGGGCCUCACGCUAUUCGAGCGGCCGACGUCUGAUUAGCUAGUAGGUGAGGUAAAGGCUCACCUAGGCGACGAUCAGUAGCGGGUCUGAGAGGAUGAUCCGCCACACUGGGACUGAGACACGGCCCAGACUCCUACGGGAGGCAGCAGUGGGGAAUUUUGGACAAUGGGCGAAAGCCUGAUCCAGCCAUGCC
RNAcentral lists this ribosomal RNA (357 nucleotides) under Vogesella sp. VI3(2011). RNAcentral describes it as "bacterial SSU rRNA". It matches the Rfam family "Bacterial small subunit ribosomal RNA", at positions 39 to 398 of the family's 1533-position model. The record is from RNAcentral. Lineage: Bacteria; Pseudomonadati; Pseudomonadota; Betaproteobacteria; Neisseriales; Chromobacteriaceae.